CUCGGAUAUAAAAAAGUAGAAUCAAUUUAAACUCUAAAAUAAUUCUCUGAGAAUAAUCAUCAUAGAGUUGUGAAAGCACGGAGGUAUCUCUUUAAAACUUGACACAGAGUCUGAGUGUUGUCCUCACCCCUCUGUCACAUGAGAGCUUUAAAAAAGGCCUAUAGCCUGGUGUAAUAAUGAUAAUUAAGUUUGUCAGAUAGUUGCCGGACGGUAAAGAAGGGCCAACAAAACUCAGUAGAUCAUCGUCAGUCAGCCUGUCAUAUCGCUCACAUAAAGAUAAGUAACAAGCCAGAGUCUGUUGUAACUCACCCACAUACACUCACUGUUUGUGCCCACAGGAGAGGACCACGCCGCUGAGCGGGAUGACAAGUUGCCACGUUGUGAAAUGUGAAUGUAAGUGACAUGGAGCCGCGCUACAUUUCAUGGCCACACACAUUAAGAUCUUGGUUAUUCUGCAGCACGUCCUCUUGGCCUUUUCAUUUCCUUCUUGUUAUUUUUAACAUGUAAUAAAAAAAAGUAUUCACAAACUGAAAAAAUGGCACAUCCAGCCCAGUGAAUCACCCACACCUCUCACACUUUGGCAUCUGGGCUGGAGCUGUGAGAGAAGAGAAGUAGAUUGGUCCAUCAGCUUUCCAACAACAACAACAGAGUGAGAGACAAGGUAAAAACAGCACAGACUUGGUUAGCCCGCUGAUUAGAUGACAAGCUGUAAGGUUCGGUCAAUCAAGCACGCUUCACAACUGCUCAUUUAAGACUCUCGGUUAGAAAUGACGUUCUCAGCUAUCCCCGCAGGAAAACACGAAUCCAAGAAGAGAUCUCAUGGUUUUGUUUUUUUCCAUCACCGAGAACAGACCAAGGUUUUUUUUUUUUUCUUCUCUUCAAACUCAGCUCAAGAAUUGAACCUCCAAAAGGAUCCUCGAUUAAUUGAUGAAAAACAUCUGAACAAAAGCAGAUCUCUUCUUUUUGUAAUUGAAUAUGAAUGUCAAAAAGAACCUCAGGUGUUACGACAUCUCAUCACUGAAUAAUUUACUCAGAGACAUCUGAGACGAAGAACAGGAGGGAAAAAUACUGAUAUAGCUAUAAUGAUACAGACAUGAGAUGAUAACAAUACAUUAUAACAAUGUGAUACAGUAAUGAUACUGUACAAUAUGAUACAAUAGUGAUACAAUAGAACACACUAACGAUACGAUACAAUAGCGGUAUGAUAACAAUGCCUUAAUGAUACAAUAGAAUAACAAUAUGAUAAUGAGACAAUAGAAAAGUGAUACAUUGAUGAGACAAUAAUUAACAUUAUGAUAACAAUGCAAUACAGUAAUGAUACAAUACAAUAUGAUAUAAUAGCAGUACUGUACAAUAUGAUACAAUAAUGAUAUGGUAACACUAUAAUGAUACAAUAGAAUAACAAUAUGAUAUGAUAACAAGAUAAUACGCUAUGAUAAUGCAACAUAGUAAUGAUACAAUAACAAUACUAUACAACAUGAUUCAAUAGUGACACAUUACAACACUAUAAUGAUAUGAUACAAUAGUGGUAUGAUAACGACACAGUAAUGAUACAAUAGAAUAGAAUAACAAUAUGAUAAUUCCAGAUAAUGAGACAAUAAAAAUAUGCUAUGCUACCAAUUCAAUACAGUAAUGAUACAAUAAAACUAACAAUAAUGAUACAAUAGUGGUAUGGUAACAACACUUUGAUGAUAAAAUAGCAUAACAUGGUUAUGAUACUGUUAUAAGACAAUAACAAUAUGCUUUGAUAAUGCAAUAUAGUAAUAAUAUAAUAAAACUGACAAUGAUAAAAUACAACAUAUAUGAUACAAUAGAUUCAAUAAUUAUACAGCAUGAUAUAAAGAUGCAAUCAAGAUAAAAUACAAUAUGACAUUAUACUUAUUUGAAACCAAUAUAAUAUUUGGUAGUAUGCAAAACUACUUUAGAAGUACAUUAUCUAAAAUCAUGAUACAAUAAACUACAUUAUAAAUACAAUACGAUAAGUACCAAUACACCUUUAUAUGAUCCAGCAUUAUAUAACAUGAAAUGAUUGAAUACAGUACAAUACAGUCUGACAAAUAAAAUACAAUAUUUACCUUCAAAGAUUAUGACUUGAUAUAACACAAUAAUAUUAUAUUAAAUAUGUCAGAGUACAGAAUAAUACAACAUUAUAUGAUCCGCAUGGUAGGUCAUUAGUACCUUUAGUAUUUAAUAUGAUAAAUGAUAGAGAGAUGAUAAUAUGAUAAGAGAUGAUACAACACAAUGAGGCAGGAUAGGAUACAACACAUUAUGAUAGACUCUGAUACAGCACAAUGAGAUUUGAUACAACACUGUAUAAUAUAAUAUAAGGUAUGAUAAGGUUUAUUAUUGUUAUUAAAUAAUGUGUCCUUCUUUAUUUUUUGUCUCUGCUUCUUAAAAAAGUAUAUUUUACCAUCAUUCCUUUAUUUCUGCUGACAUUUAAAUCUAAACAUCUACAUUUUAUUUGCUCCCUCAAACACCUGACAGGCAGAACCCGGGACCCGGAUUCUACUCACCGCAGUUUCAGACUCCCACAACCCUUCCUCUCUGCGUGGAGAAACGGGGCCAGAGGUUGAGAAGAGGACCUGUCUGAAGCAUCACUACCUCCAUCCCUCAUGCCUACAUCUGCCAGAGCCUCCUCCCACCUGUCUGAUGCUGCUCAGAUUUAUGUGGCUGUAUACGAGGAGGCCAAUCCAGCGUGCGGGGCCAUGUGCAGGCUUCCUCUUCCACUGACAGUUGUGUGUAUGAUACUGUAGCCGGCUCACGGUGAGGCUUGGCCCUCUGUGUCUAAGAUCUGUCAUGAGUGGGAGCUUGGAAAGGUUAGGACAGUUCAGGGAAGAUAAAUGGUGGAUUGGGAGGACAGCUGAUGUUGAAACACAAACACUUCAGGAGGAUGGAGUGGACUGAGGCCGCUCUCUUUAUCCCAACACACUUCACGUUCAGAUGGUCCUGCAGACGGGUGAAGCCAUCCAUCCUGAGCUCCUCCAAGAGAAGUUUCCACAGAGCCGGCCGUCCACAUCAGCCACUCUAUUACUCUCAUCAAAACAAAUGAUAAAGAAUGGUUAUUGGGUUUGCACAAUGUCUUUUGUAUAAUAAAGCUCGUUAACUGCAUUGCGCAAAACAAAUGGGCAGAAUAAUCAGUAUACUUAUCGACAUUGUGUCAUUUCUAGUUAGGGCAGGAAGAGGACUCUCACUGUGGCU
Molecule: non-coding RNA, 3198 nt
Organism: Xyrichtys novacula (pearly razorfish)
Lineage: Eukaryota; Metazoa; Chordata; Actinopteri; Labriformes; Labridae
Source: the annotation of a GenBank genome assembly